Molecule: transfer RNA, 64 nt
Filed under: Tympanogaster modulatrix
Lineage: Eukaryota; Metazoa; Arthropoda; Insecta; Coleoptera; Hydraenidae
Description: tRNA-His
Source: RNAcentral
AUUUAAAUAGUUUAAUACAAAAUAUUGAUUUGUGGAAUCAAAGAUAUAAAUAUUAUUUUAAAUA